CAAAAUUAACAUUAUUUAUUUUCCAAAACACAGAAAUGAAUGUUCCUGUUUAUGUAGAAAAGAAUUCAGCCCAUCCAUGGUUUGACCAUGCUUUGACUAAGAUUGUGAAUAUUAAUGCUCUAGUAUUGUUCACUCAAAAUCGAAACUUGUACAUGUAGCUCAUUUAUCCUGAAUGACCAGUAACAAUGUACGUUCAUUUUAAGCCUGUAGGGUGACUGGUGCCCUUAAAAGAAAAGACAAUUAAAGGUUAAUUUUUCUUUUUACAAACAUUUGAAAACUUGUUCGAAAAUAUUUCUUGUAAAAUAUGAUAAUACACAUGAAUCUCUGAGUUGAUGUGCUUAAAAACAUUUAGUAGAAAAACUGUAAAUUGAUUUCUGACAAGUUCACUUCCCCCAUAAGGGUUGUGCAUCAAAUGCAUUGCUUGUUUCUCACCCAAACCCAUAAUCCAUUGCGAACAUUGAAAAGGUUAAUUAUUUGCAUGAUUUUCCAUUUUUUUAAAUGCAGAAUAAAUGCUUUGAAAUUGUGUCCACAAUGAAGAUUUUAGGCCUAGGCCUACGUGUACUUUUCUGGAAAAACUUGUACGUGUACGUAGGCCUAUUAGGGGUUACUAGAAUUUAUCAACUUUAAAUAAAAAAUCUUCCUUUCCUUCCACUGUUCAGGAAUUUUAAUAAUUUUUGCCAUUUUGACACGGCCAUUUUGUUACUAGGGUGAUUUGCGCAAUCUUUACUGGUGAUGAACAUGUACACCUCCAGACACCAGCUGUUGGGGUGAUCUCUGAGAAUGUUAAUUGGCACACCACAGGUGCGUUCAAUUUGCCUCCAUGAGUUACUUGAGUUUCAAGACCAUUCCCAGGUCAGGGUUGCUCCCCGUAAGUGAAGCUAAGCCAAAUGUUACAGGUACAGUUGCUUGGAUUUGAAUGAAUCUCUUUUUAACAUAAGAGUAGCUCCCCUUUCAUGACGGUGAAAAUGCCAUAGACCAGUAGUUAAGCGUUCCCCUCCUUUACCUACGUCAUUAUAUUAGCAUACCUGCUGUUGAUUUAAGCCGUAGCUUCUUGCAUUAAUUUGGCCACAUGGUCUGGCUACACUCAAUGUACAUGAAGCAAAUCAGCAGAGACAAGUCAACUUACAUGUCGUGAAUUGUUUUUCGUAACUGGAGUGGUCAUCUGCUUGAGUUCUGUCUGCUAGAAUCAUUGAUUGAAGUCCGAAUGUACAUGUAUUCUCGGAAGUUCUAUUUGACCCUGUUGACACACUGUGUUGGUUAACUCUGAAAGAGCCAUGUUAUUUUGGACCGUGUACAUGUAACUUGUCACUGCCAGCACUCUCACUCGGCUGUCCCAUACUUCAUUUGUAAACAUUAGGUGUGGUCAAUCCAACAUAUUGUUUUGUUAUGAUGGUCAGUUGAAGUUCAAGACCACACACUGAAUGUGCGGGCCUACCUAGAUGUACAUUGAGCACGGCAGUGGAGAAGUAUAAAGUUUGGGCUGAUCUGUGAUUCCACAGCCCCCAAGCUCUUUUUUGGUUAAACUUCAGUCCUUGUUUUUCAAGUCUUACAGUGUAUUUAAUUUUUCAGUUUGGUCAUUUUUUUAAGGGUUGAUCAGUUUUUCUGGGGGGUUUUGAUACUUAAAUGUCCAUGUAGAAUUCUUGUGUUAGUCCCUAUUAAUUCCGUUCCCUGCAACUUUGCCUGUGAACAUUCUUCAGUUAGUUUGAGUUUCUUUUAUGCGAUAGCUUGCUAUUUUUCCAGGUCUGCCUUGUAAUCAAAUGUACCCUACUUGCCUGCGUUGCAUUGGCACACUUCAAUGCUGGACCCCACACCUGCAUACACACCUGGCAGCCGGCUGGCAAUCAGGUCAAAGAUGACUGGAUAAUGGCAACAUAAUACCCCAAGUUCAGCACUGCGGUCUUAUCUUAUAAAGGUUGACACGUAUAGAACACCAGAAGAGGGGAUUUUAAGGGUUGCCUUUUAGGCAAACACCAAUGUAAACCAUAGACCCUCCAUUGCUGUGGGGCCCUCAAAGCUUCUGGUGAGUACUUUGUGGUUUUUUGUUUUCCUCCAAGCUCACCCAUUCUAACCCACCUGCUAACCCUUGUGAUUGAUUUAAUCAUGUUAAUUGCAACUAGGCAGGUGUGGUGAUCUUAUGUCCUGUAUACAUAGACAAGCUGGAAAUACUUUUAAGCAGUAAGUGCAUGUGCAUGUAGUGGGGGGGUCAGUCUAUUUGAAAAAAAAAAUGAGGGCCAAAAAAAGAUGUUUCUUCACCACUUUUGGAGCCAACCUCUGACCAGAAAGCGGAGACCUAAAGUUUUCUCUUUAGGCCUUAACAUGCAUGUUUUGCAUCAUUGAAUAACCACAAGGCUAAUGUUGUCAGGAAACAGAAAUUGAAGAUUUUUGAUAAAACACGCAAGCCAGUGGGGGUCAUGGGAUGUUACUUAAGCCUAAUGACUUUCAAGUAUGGCAAAAAUCACAGGUGUUUCAUGAAGACUUUGUGUUCAUUUAACAUUGAAAUAAAGUUGACAGAAUGAUGGCAUUGAUUGGUUUCCCGUAGCAACCCUGGUUGGAAGAAUUUGCCGUGUGUUUCUUUGCCCAGAAACUAAAGAAGACAUGUGCAUGGAGCUCAUCCCAGGCUGAUAAUGCAGUCGGCCUGAGAACAAGGCUGUGUAGGAACCACCCCAGGGGCUGCAGAAUCAGCCGUGCACAGAAUACUGCAUGACUAGGAUCUGUCGACACUGGUCUCUUCAGGCUUGCGAGCUACAGUGCCUUGGACAUUUUUGAGGUGUCCAUUACCAGAAAUAGUUAGGAAUGAAAAUAAUAACAAAUAAGAUGUCCAGUCCAGUUUGCAACUCAGAGGAUAUGAUGUCCCAUAGGUCUACCUUGAUGGAGCCGAUCCAAUUCACCUCUCCAACAACCACCCUUCCCUUUUGUGACCACCAGGAUGUUAACCUCUGUGACAUCAAGGAGCUCCAUCCAAGUCAGUUCAAGUCAAGCCCCAGGCAAGCUUGUCUUUCCUUUAUUUCUGGCCCAAUAUUGUUUUAACUUGUGAAAAAAAGAGAUGAAUCUUGUAUUUUAUGACCUUCUUUGCUAAUCAGGACAGUGUGAAAGAGGACCAUUGCAUGGACAUCUCAGACUUGGAUUAUUUAUUUCCCUUUUAAAUUUUUGCUUUUAAUUUUUUUAAUGCGAGGUGGCAGCUUUGGCCAAAAACUAACCGCUUGUAGGUGCAUGGUCACUAAAACCAGUGAGAUUGGAUGCUAUACAUUUGAAUGGGCAGGGGAAGCCUUGCACUAGAUCACAUCUUUGUGGGAAUGGGUAGUUUCACGCUUGAGGGAGCACUACCAUUAUGUACAUGUGGGAAUUGGUAGUUUCACGCUUGAGAGAGCACUGCCAUUAUGUACAUGUGGGAUUUGGUAGUUUCACGCUUGAGAGAGCACUGCCAUUAUGUACAUGUGGGAUUUGGUAGUUUCACGCUUGAGGGAGCACUACCAUUAUGUACAUGUGGGAAUUGGUAGUUUCACGCUUGAGAGAGCACUGCCAUUAUGUGCAUGUGGGAAUUGGUAGUUUCACGCUUGAGAGAGCACCACCUUUCUUUUCCAUCUUCAUUGAUGCAACUGAAGUAGUGCUACAUGUAGUUCAUGUACCAAAAAAGUCUGGUCCGAGCCAAUUUGGCUCAUCAAGCAGGUGUUUAUCUCUGGUGUCCUUGGCAUGAAACGACUGGAUGCCAGUCCAUCGCAGGUUGUUUCCCCAGCUAAUGCUGGUAUGGUACCCUUUAAUACUCCUGGGUGGAGAGAUGCAAGCAGGGGUUAAGAGGCUUGCCAAGGGCCACAAUUUACCGCCAGGGAACCUCAGACCCUAUGAUUGGAAGCCACAAACCCUAACCACUUGGCCACAUGCCCCCCAGUUCAUGUACCAACCAUGUUCCUAAUUUGGGCAAUUCAGUGUCUUCUUGCUGGCUACAAACAAUGGUGACCCCUUCAGUUGGAAUGUCGGGCCAAACAACCUCCACUGCAUCUGUAUGCUAAAGUUUUGAGCCAUUUUCUUACAGUUCCGAUGAAUUAUCUGACAACGGAAAGUCUACAGGUGUGUCAUCACUUGCUGUACUGAGAUGGCCCACCCGGAGCUUACAUCACCAACAGUUUGCUAUGUACAUGUGUUGUCAACUUUACUUGGUCGUCAUGGUUUAAAUUUCCUAUCCAUUGUUUCUCUGCUGACUUAUGGCCAAAAUGUAGCUUAAGUUGAAACCUUGUAUCCUUGUCAUUU
This is a long non-coding RNA of Acanthaster planci (crown-of-thorns starfish), 4245 nucleotides long. The record is from RefSeq and is a predicted model, not a curated record. Lineage: Eukaryota; Metazoa; Echinodermata; Asteroidea; Valvatida; Acanthasteridae.